AUAUUGAUAGCGCUUAAUCAAUAGAGCGGGAGAACCAAAUUCAGGGGUGAAUCUUAUUAUUAAGAUAAGUAGGGUUAAUUUUCUUCAACCCGAAUCCGUCAGCUAAUCUCGUAAGCGUUGAAGAGAAGUUUG
RNAcentral lists this small RNA (132 nucleotides) under Clostridium chromiireducens. Its description in RNAcentral is "c-di-AMP sequence". It matches the Rfam family "c-di-AMP riboswitch aptamer (ydaO/yuaA leader)". Rfam says of the family: This family represents a conserved RNA structure found upstream of the ydaO and yuaA genes in Bacillus subtilis and related genes in other bacteria. Lineage: Bacteria; Bacillati; Bacillota; Clostridia; Eubacteriales; Clostridiaceae. The record is from Rfam by way of RNAcentral.